This 464-nucleotide ribosomal RNA is filed under the name uncultured bacterium. RNAcentral describes it as "partial 16S ribosomal RNA". It matches the Rfam family "Bacterial small subunit ribosomal RNA", at positions 28 to 506 of the family's 1533-position model. The record is from RNAcentral.
GACGAACGCUGGCGGCGUGCUUAACACAUGCAAGUCGUACGGUAAGGCCCUUUCGGGGGUACACGAGUGGCGAACGGGUGAGUAACACGUGAGUAACCUGCCCACAACUUUGGGAUAACGCUAGGAAACUGGUGCUAAUACUGGAUAUGUGCUCCUGCUGCAUGGUGGGGGUUGGAAAGCUCCGGCGGUUGUGGAUGGACUCGCGGCCUAUCAGCUUGUUGGUGGGGUAGUGGCCUACCAAGGCGGCGACGGGUAGCCGGCCUGAGAGGGUGACCGGCCACAUUGGGACUGAGAUACGGCCCAGACUCCUACGGGAGGCAGCAGUGGGGAAUAUUGCACAAUGGGCGCAAGCCUGAUGCAGCAACGCCGCGUGCGGGAUGACGGCCUUCGGGUUGUAAACCGCUUUCAGCCGGGACGAAGCUUUUUGUGACGGUACCUGCAGAAGAAGCACCGGCUAACUACGU